AUUCAGCUGACGAGUCUUAAGUAGAAUGAAACGCGCGUCCUGGAC
Molecule: non-coding RNA, 45 nt
Filed under: Schistosoma margrebowiei
Lineage: Eukaryota; Metazoa; Platyhelminthes; Trematoda; Strigeidida; Schistosomatidae
Source: RNAcentral